RNAcentral lists this ribosomal RNA (253 nucleotides) under uncultured bacterium. RNAcentral describes it as "partial 16S ribosomal RNA". It matches the Rfam family "Bacterial small subunit ribosomal RNA", at positions 524 to 776 of the family's 1533-position model. The record is from RNAcentral.
UACGUAGGGGGCAAGCGUUGUCCGGAAUCAUUGGGCGUAAAGCGCGUGUAGGCGGCUCGAUAAGUCUGCUGUGAAAGUUCAGGGCUCAACCCUGAAAUGCCGGUGGAAACUGUCGAGCUAGAGUCCGGAAGAGGUGAGUGGAAUUCCUGGUGUAGCGGUGAAAUGCGCAAAUAUCAGGAGGAACACCAAUGGCGAAGGCAGCUCACUGGGACGGUACUGACGCUGAGACGCGAAAGCGUGGGGAGCAAACAGG